GAUCUCCACCUUUUCCCAGAAAAGACAUGAAUAUUCCUCCCCUUUAUUAACCUAGCUCUUUUCCUCUUAUUUCUAUCCUGUAUCUGUAACGUCUCUAACCCCCUAGAGGAAGGAAGUUGAUUUGCAAGCAAAGUUCCUCCUCCAUUCUUUUGGCCACUGAAUAAAACCUUUGUUUCUCCUCAACAGGUAACUUUCAGAAGUUGGAUUUUCUUUGCUGUCCAGAGAACCUAGGUUCAGGAACAGUAUUCCUAUCAUCAAGGUCCCAGAUUUCAGCUAAGCCCUAAGCUCAGUGGGCUGAUUACAGCAUUGACAGGAAAGAGGCUAAACAAUAAAUGCCAGGAUGCUGCUGAGAGCCCUGGUGGGAAUGCAAGUCUUUGGAAAGACUCUUUUUGUGACCUUCCUUCUUACUUCUAUUAAGUAUCACGUCUCACGUUUGUUCUUCCCUAAGUGUAUGAGAAUGAAAUGCAAAACAAAGCAAAAUAUUAGUGGAAUAUUCAAGACUGUCAAAUUAGUAAGAAGAUAGAAGAUACUGGUGAAGACAAACAAAAUGUAACAUAUAAAGAAGGAAUUGGAAAUAGCCAGAAAACUUAGCAGGUACUAAAUUAGUAUGUUAAAAGAAUUAAAUGAGUUCUCCCACAAGAAAUUAUAUUAUUUUCCAAAGCAUUAUGAUGGAAAGAGAUUAGGGUUUCUGAUGGAAAGCCAGGUAUAAGCAAUCUUUUGUUAGCUUUCCAGAAAGAUUAAAAGAUUAUACCCAAAAAAUUCCCUUGAGAAGUGGCUGGUGUAAGAAUACCCUGGAAAUCAGUAAGUAAUCCAACUUCAAAAAAAAUAA
Molecule: long non-coding RNA, 829 nt
Filed under: Marmota monax (woodchuck)
Lineage: Eukaryota; Metazoa; Chordata; Mammalia; Rodentia; Sciuridae
Source: RNAcentral